This 1289-nucleotide ribosomal RNA is filed under the name Cheirotonus gestroi. RNAcentral's name for it is "16S ribosomal RNA". The stretch from base 524 to 1289 matches the Rfam family "Archaeal large subunit ribosomal RNA", at positions 1423 to 2807 of the family's 2987-position model. Lineage: Eukaryota; Metazoa; Arthropoda; Insecta; Coleoptera; Scarabaeidae. The record is from RNAcentral.
GAUUAAGAAAUUAUUUUUUUGGUAGUAGGCAAAAUAUUGUAGUUUAUUAGUAUGGGUUAGAAAUUAAUUUUUGUGUGAUAGUUUAUUAGUAUUGUGAGAGUUAUUUUAAAUAUUAGGUUAUUAGUAUUAUUUAAAAGAAAAAUUAAUUUUUUGUACCUUGUGUAUCAGGGUUUAUUAAAAAUUGGCUAUUUAGUUGGUUAUCUCGAACUAUAAAGAGCUAAUAAAUUAUACAUUUAAUUGUGGAAUAAAUUUUUAUAAUAUUUUAUUGGAAAUGAAACGUUAGUCGUUUUUUAGGAUAUCUAGUUGUUAAAGAAAUUAAUUUAAUUUAGCAGGUUUAUUAUAUAUGACUAAUUAUUUAGUUGUUUAAAUUAAUCUAGUAAUAUAUCAAGGGUUAAGCUUUGAGUUAAAGUUUUAGAAAUAAGUUAUGGAUUUAAAAUUAAUUAGGAUUGAAAAUUUCUUUUUGUUUGUUAUAAUUAUUUUUUAUGUUAAUAAUAUUUUUAUUUUUAUUUUAGGUUUUUUAUUUAAUUGAUUAAUAUAUUGAUUUAUUUAGUGUAAUAAUGAUUGAAUUAGUAUAUAGUUUUGUAUUUGAGUAUUGAUGUCUUUGUGAGGUUGAUCCAAGGAACUCGGCAAAUUUGUUUUUCGCCUGUUUAUUAAAAACAUGGCGUUUUGAUUAUAAUUUAAGGUCUGACCUGCCCAAUGAGUAGUUGAAUGGCCGCGGUAUUUUGACCGUGCAAAGGUAGCAUAAUCAUUAGUUUUUUAAUUGGAAGCUGGAAUGAAUGGUUGGACGAGAAAACGACUGUCUCGGUUUUAUUUUGUUAUAAUUUUAUUUUUAAGUAAAAAAGCUUAAAUUGAUUUAAAAGACGAGAAGACCCUAUAGAGUUUUAUAUUCUUAGGGUACUGGUCUUUUUAGAAUUUUGAUACUGGUAUUUGAUAGCGUAUUUUGUUGGGGUGACAGGAAAAUUAAGUUAACUUUUCUUUAUUUGAAACAUUGAUUUAUGGUUGUUUGAUCCAUUAAUUAUGAUUACAAGAUUAAAUUACCUUAGGGAUAACAGCGUAAUUUUUUUAGAGAGUUCUUAUCGAUAAAAGAGUUUGCGACCUCGAUGUUGGAUUAAAAUUUAUUUUUGGUGUAGGAGCUGGGAAAUUAGGUCUGUUCGACCUUUGAAAUUUUACAUGAUCUGAGUUUAAACCGGUGUGAGCCAGGUUGGUUUCUAUCUUUAAAUUGAUUAAAUAUUUUAGUACGAAAGGACCAAGUAUUUACAAAAUUUGUUUAUUAGGAUUAUUAGUAAUAU